UACGUAGGGUGCGAGCGUUAAUCGGAAUUACUGGGCGUAAAGCGUGCGCAGGCGGUCUGUUAAGACCGAUGUGAAAUCCCCGGGCUCAACCUGGGAACUGCAUUGGUGACUGGCAGGCUUUGAGUGUGGCAGAGGGAGGUAGAAUUCCACGUGUAGCAGUGAAAUGCGUAGAGAUGUGGAGGAAUACCGAUGGCGAAGGCAGCCUCCUGGGCCAACACUGACGCUCAUGCACGAAAGCGUGGGGAGCAAACAGG
Molecule: ribosomal RNA, 254 nt
Filed under: uncultured bacterium
Lineage: Bacteria
Description: partial 16S ribosomal RNA
Rfam family: Bacterial small subunit ribosomal RNA
Source: RNAcentral